Long non-coding RNA from Plutella xylostella (diamondback moth), 1016 nucleotides. RefSeq lists it as uncharacterized. NCBI's taxonomy places the organism in Eukaryota, Metazoa, Arthropoda, Insecta, Lepidoptera, Plutellidae. The record is from RefSeq and is a predicted model, not a curated record.
CUAAACUGCACUCAUAAAUGCGAUAUAAUCGAUCAUUACGAAUAGGUGGUGGCCGGUCUACCUGUCCGCGGCACAUAACAGCGCACAUACCCACUCCGUAAACACCUCGAAAGAAACCGGUUUCACCGCGGGCAUACAAAACGUUUCCCCCCAAACACAUCUUCCAUCCUCCAUUAAUGCUAAUCCAUCAAAUAGGCCCGUCUCGCUCGCGUCUGCGAGCCAACUUCGCGGCAAAGGGACGGCUGACCAAUCAGCGCGCUGCAUUUCAUCGCCAUAUUGAAUGUUGCGACGGUGGCGCUCUCUGUCUCAACUAAUGUGAAUGUGCCGUAUCUGUGUUUUUCUUGGUGUUUUGGAUACAUUUGAAACUGCUAGAUACAGUAGCUAAGAUCCGACACAAGCCGUGUUUCACAAUGCAACAAAAAGGAAGGAAUCUCCAAUUUAUGUUCUGAGCACAAAAGAGCAUUCUCAAGACAAACUACUUACAGUAGCCAAGUAUUUACACAGUGAGCUUGCAUCAGAGAUGAAAUACGCUGCCAAAUGUCCGGCAGAAGGAACGAAACUCAGGAUUUACUGCGAAAAUUUUGGAAGUUAGCCGCAGUAACCGCCGCGGAGGACUGCAUUAAUCACUACAUGGAAAAAUAUAACUGCAAAUACCACAAGCAUACUUUACUAGUACACACAGCCUGCUGCGAAUCCCCAUAAUCCGGCCACUUAUCACGCGUGCAAAAUGCAAAUGUUCGCGAACGUUCCACGCAGAAUUAACGAAAACACCGGACUAGGUUCGGGCGCGUCACGGGAAUGGCCGAACUUGCCGCUACGUUUACAAAGGAUAAGCCCAGUAAUCUGGGGGCACGUGAGACAACCGGCUCAUGAUUUACGGAGACGCUCCAAACUUCCGCAACUCUAUUAAAGAAGAAGCCAUUCCGUAGUGCCGAGGGUGAUUGGCGCGGACGAGUGAAAGGAUAAUGAUGGACCUCAAGCCAAGCUGCGCUUAAAGGAGGAUAAAUUUCUAUAAC